CCACCGCAGAGGCUGAGUCGGUGGCGCAGGCAAGGGCCGCGGGGGCUCCUCGAGCCAACCUCUCCUCUCAUCUAACCGCAGGUAUUUCCUAAUCUUUUGGAGUUCUUCUUUCUAGAUGUGUUUUCCCUUGUUGAGAGGAGCAAUUUCUCCACCUGCUACUUCUUUCUGUGUUUAUCAGACUUAUGAAAGAUGCAUGCUUCACUAUUCUUGCUAUUCAGUAAUUGUUCAAAUUUUGAUAUAGACCUAAUUGCUGAAAGCCUGAAACCAAUCAACCAUCUGAAUCUGUACCCCGAUCAGGCUAUUAAUUCCAUAUGCAUGCGUGGGUUGCUCAAUGCGUGGCUAGCAGUUCAGUUUGUUCCCUUUUGUUAUAGAAUUGCCCUGCUGCUACAGUUCAAUAAAUAUAAGAGGUAACUAAUGGGUAUUUUCUUUACUUGCCAGCCGAAUGAUUCAUAUAGUGUCCAUGAGACCAUGACUGAUUAUUUAUAAGAUAUGCCAUUAUAAAUCCAACGUACGGCCAGACGCCCCUGCCACUCCAGCCCACGUACGGGCAGGCGCCUCCCCCGCCGCAGCCCGGGUAUUACGGGGCGCCACCUGCGCCGCUCCCCCCGCGUUGUGUAUAUAACAACAGGAGCAACAAGCACAUGAGUAAACGUGUAUCCCUGAACACAUGAUGAAGUAUUUGAUGGAACAGGCUAUAAGAAAACCAUGGGAUGAAGAACCAACUGUAAUGACUGAAGUAAUGAAAACCAUAUCUUUGGAGGUUGUGCGGGAGAAGAUGCUGCAUCACAUCCACCAAGAAAUUCACUAUGUAAUUGAGCAUCGUUUGAUGGACUGGAAGGAUCUAAAAGAUGGUUCUCUUAGGGUGGAGCAGCACUCUAUGACACCAAAACAAAGCCAACGUCAGAUUCUUGUUGGGAAAAAUGGCUCGAAGAUUGACUAAGUCAUUCAGCCAUUCUCACAUGGAAAACUAGCUCCUAUAGUCCUAUGCUAGAAUGGCUGAUAGUGUAUUUGGUGAGAAGAGCUUUGUCAAUUAACAUGUCCAAUAAGAUGUAUUAUUUGAAUGAUUUGUGCGUAUUAUCGAUACUACUGUGUUCGCACCAUUGAAUUCGGACAAAUAUUUCAAGAGAAUUGGUAUUGAAGCCAAUGAAGAAUUGAGAUCCAUAUUCAAGAGAAA
Panicum virgatum (switchgrass) is the source of this 1174-nucleotide long non-coding RNA. RefSeq lists it as uncharacterized. The transcript has 4 exons. NCBI's taxonomy places the organism in Eukaryota, Viridiplantae, Streptophyta, Magnoliopsida, Poales, Poaceae. The record is from RefSeq and is a predicted model, not a curated record.